AUAGCCUAGCGGCUGAACCAGCAACUUGGAGGAAUGUAUAGCAAUAGCUAUUUGCGCUAAAAAUAUAUAGUGUAAAAUCGACUAUGUCGAAUAAAAUUCUGGCUAGAAAUAUGAUAAUGACAUAUUCUGUCCAUAAGUCUUGACCAAAUUACGUGCCAGCAGUCGCGGUAAUACGUAGAAGACAAGUGUUAUUCAUCUUUAAUAGGUUUAAAGGGUACUUAGACGGUAAAUAAAGCCUUUAAAAGGGUACUAGUUUGCUAGAGUUUUAUGUGAAGGAGUUUUAAAGUACUACUGGUGUAGAGAUGAAAUUCAGUUAUACCUUACAUGGCACAGGUUAAGGCGAAAGCAUCUUCUUAUGUAAAAACUGACGUUGAAGGACGAAGGCUUUGUGUCUCGAACAGGAUUAGAUACCCUAGUAGUCUAAGCAGAAAAUGAUGAAUGUCAUAGAUUAGAUAAGAUUUGAUCUGUAAAUGAAAGUGUAAGCAUUCCACCUCAAGAGUAAUUUGGCAACAUUGGAACUGAAAUCAUUAGACCGUUUCUGAAACCAGUAGUGAAGUAUGUUGUUUAAUUUGAUAACCCGCAAAAAACCUUACCACAAUUUGAAUAGAUAUAUUUUAUCAUACAAGCGUUGCACGGCUGUCUUCAGUUAAUGUCGUGAGACUUUGGUUAGUUCCAUAAAAUUAACGUAAACCCUUACUUUAUUUUUAUAUAAAGUAGUUCACCGCUAGAUUGGAUGUGAUAAUAGGGAUCAAGACAAGUUAUCGUGGCCUAAAUAUUGU
RNAcentral lists this ribosomal RNA (779 nucleotides) under Xanthomendoza mendozae. Its description in RNAcentral is "mitochondrial SSU rRNA". It matches the Rfam family "Bacterial small subunit ribosomal RNA", at positions 371 to 1210 of the family's 1533-position model. Lineage: Eukaryota; Fungi; Ascomycota; Lecanoromycetes; Teloschistales; Teloschistaceae. The record is from RNAcentral.